This 305-nucleotide ribosomal RNA is filed under the name uncultured bacterium. RNAcentral's name for it is "bacterial SSU rRNA". It matches the Rfam family "Bacterial small subunit ribosomal RNA", at positions 333 to 655 of the family's 1533-position model. The record is from RNAcentral.
CGCAGCCUACGGGAGGCAGCAGUGGGGGAUAUUGCACAAUGGGGGGAACCCUGAUGCAGCGACGCCGCGUGGGCGAUGGAGUGCUUCGGCAUGUAAAGCCCUAUCAGCAGGGAAGAAAAUGACGGUACCUGACUAAGAAGCCCCGGCUAAAUACGUGCCAGCAGCCGCGGUAAUACGUAUGGUGCAAGCGUUAUCCGGAUUUACUGGGUGUAAAGGGAGCGCAGGCGGCGCGUUAAGCCUGGUGUGAAAGCCCGCGGCCCAACCGCGGGACUGCAUUGGGAACUGGCGCGCUGGAGUGCCGGAGG